AUACGUAGGGUGCAAGCGUUAAUCGGAAUUACUGGGCGUAAAGCGUGCGCAGGCGGUUUUGUAAGACAGUGGUGAAAUCCCCGGGCUCAACCUGGGAACUGCCAUUGUGACUGCAAGGCUGGAGUGCGGCAGAGGGGGAUGGAAUUCCGCGUGUAGCAGUGAAAUGCGUAGAUAUGCGGAGGAACACCGAUGGCGAAGGCAAUCCCCUGGGCCUGCACUGACGCUCAUGCACGAAAGCGUGGGGAGCAAACAGGAUUAGAUACCCUGGUAGUCCACGCACUGAACGAUGUCAACUGGUUGUUGGGGAUUUAUUUUCUCAGUAACGAAGCUAACGCGUGAAGUUGACCGCCUGGGGAGUACGGCCGCAAGGUUAAAACUCAAAUGAAUUGACGGGG
RNAcentral lists this ribosomal RNA (395 nucleotides) under uncultured bacterium. RNAcentral describes it as "partial 16S ribosomal RNA". It matches the Rfam family "Bacterial small subunit ribosomal RNA", at positions 523 to 918 of the family's 1533-position model. The record is from RNAcentral.